ACGGGUGUAGGCUAGAGGUCAGUCACUGCGUUUGGGGCGCAGAUCACGUUGGUUCGAUCCCAACCACUCGUA
RNAcentral lists this transfer RNA (72 nucleotides) under Bacillus phage vB_BceM_Bc431v3. RNAcentral describes it as "Bacillus phage vB_BceM-Bc431v3 tRNA". It matches the Rfam family "tRNA". Rfam says of the family: Transfer RNA (tRNA) molecules are approximately 80 nucleotides in length. Their secondary structure includes four short double-helical elements and three loops (D, anti-codon, and T loops). RNAcentral also lists the same sequence under 1 other name. Lineage: Duplodnaviria; Heunggongvirae; Uroviricota; Caudoviricetes; Herelleviridae. The record is from Rfam by way of RNAcentral.